AACGAACGCUGGCGGCAUGCCUAACACAUGCAAGUCGAACGGGAUCCGGACUUCGGUCCGGUGAGAGUGGCGGACGGGUGAGUAACACGUGGGAACCUGCCUUUUGGUUCGGGAUAACCGCGGGAAACUGCGGCUAAUACCGGAUGCUCCCGAGGAGGGAAAAGAUUUAUCGCCAGAAGAGGGGCCCGCGUCCGAUUAGGUAGUUGGUGGGGUAAUGGCCUACCAAGCCGACGAUCGGUAGCUGGUCUGAGAGGAUGAUCAGCCACACUGGGACUGAGAUACGGCCCAGACUCCUACGGGAGGCAGCAGUGGGGAAUAUUGGACAAUGGGGGGCAACCCUGAUCCAGCAAUGCCGCGUGAGUGAUGAAGGCCUUAGGGUUGUAAAGCUCUUUUGCCAGGGAAGAUGAUGACUGUACCUGGAGAAUAAGCCCCGGCUAACUUCGUGCCAGCAGCCGCGGUAAU
This 462-nucleotide ribosomal RNA is filed under the name uncultured bacterium. RNAcentral's name for it is "bacterial SSU rRNA". It matches the Rfam family "Bacterial small subunit ribosomal RNA", at positions 29 to 524 of the family's 1533-position model. The record is from RNAcentral.